This 253-nucleotide ribosomal RNA is filed under the name uncultured bacterium. RNAcentral's name for it is "partial 16S ribosomal RNA". It matches the Rfam family "Bacterial small subunit ribosomal RNA", at positions 524 to 776 of the family's 1533-position model. The record is from RNAcentral.
GACGAACCGAGCGAACGUUGUUCGGAAUCACUGGGCUUAAAGGGCGCGUAGGCGGGCUGUCAAGUCUGGGGUGAAAUCCCGCGGCUCAACCGUGGAACUGCCUCAGAUACUGACGGUCUCGAGGGAGGUAGGGGCGAGCGGAACUGAUGGUGGAGCGGUGAAAUGCGUUGAUAUCAUCAGGAACUCCGGUGGCGAAGGCGGCUCGCUGGACCUCUUCUGACGCUGAGGCGCGAAAGCCAGGGGAGCAAACAGG